This 380-nucleotide ribosomal RNA is filed under the name uncultured eukaryote. RNAcentral's name for it is "partial 18S ribosomal RNA". It matches the Rfam family "Eukaryotic small subunit ribosomal RNA", at positions 592 to 976 of the family's 1831-position model. The record is from RNAcentral.
CAAUAGCGUAUAUUAAAGUUGUUGCAGUUAAAAAGCUCGUAGUUGGAUUUGUGGCGUACGGUGUGUUCCGGGCACUUGUUGUCUGAGUAACCUGCUGUUGCCAUCCUUGGGUGGAACCUGUGUGGCAUUAGGUUGUCGUGCAGGGGAUGCCCAUCAUUUACUGUGAAAAAAUUAGAGUGUUCAAAGCAGGCUUAUGCCGUUGAAUAAAUUAGCAUGGAAUAAUGAGAUAGGACUUUUUUGCUAUUUUGUUGGUUUGCGCAAGAAGGUAAUGAUUAAUAGGGACAGUUGGGGGUAUUCGUAUUCCAUUGUCAGAGGUGAAAUUCUUGGAUUUUUGGAAGACGAACUACUGCGAAAGCAUUUACCAAGGAUGUUUUCAUUAA